Molecule: ribosomal RNA, 510 nt
Filed under: Cladosporium cladosporioides
Lineage: Eukaryota; Fungi; Ascomycota; Dothideomycetes; Cladosporiales; Cladosporiaceae
Description: eukaryotic LSU rRNA
Rfam family: 5.8S ribosomal RNA (bases 145-298)
Source: RNAcentral
GGUCUACCACCGGGAUGUUCAUAACCCUUUGUUGUCCGACUCUGUUGCCUCCGGGGCGACCCUGCCUUCGGGCGGGGGCUCCGGGUGGACACUUCAAACUCUUGCGUAACUUUGCAGUCUGAGUAAACUUAAUUAAUAAAUUAAAACUUUUAACAACGGAUCUCUUGGUUCUGGCAUCGAUGAAGAACGCAGCGAAAUGCGAUAAGUAAUGUGAAUUGCAGAAUUCAGUGAAUCAUCGAAUCUUUGAACGCACAUUGCGCCCCCUGGUAUUCCGGGGGGCAUGCCUGUUCGAGCGUCAUUUCACCACUCAAGCCUCGCUUGGUAUUGGGCAUCGCGGUCCGCCGCGUGCCUCAAAUCGACCGGCUGGGUCUUCUGUCCCCUAAGCGUUGUGGAAACUAUUCGCUAAAGGGUGUUCGGGAGGCUACGCCGUAAAACAACCCCAUUUCUAAGGUUGACCUCGGAUCAGGUAGGGAUACCCGCUGAACUUAAGCAUAUCAAUAAGCGGAGGAA